UACUGCUCAGUAACACGUGGCCAAACUACCCUGCAGAGGAGCAUAAUCUCGGGAAACUGAGGCUAAUACUCCAUACCGCACUCACGUUGGAACGACCGAGUGCACCAAACGCUCCGGCGCUGCAGGAUGUGGCUGCGGCCGAUUAGGUAGACGGUGGGGUAACGGCCCACCGUGCCGAUAAUCGGUACGGGUUGUGAGAGCAAGAGCCCGGAGACGGAAUCUGAGACAAGACUCCGGGCCCUACGGGGCGCAGCAGGCGCGAAACCUUUACACUGCACGACAGUGCGAUAAGGGGACCCCAAGUGCGAGGGCAUACAGUCCUCGCUUUUGUGUACCGUAAGGUGGUACACGAAUAAGAGCUGGGCAAGACCGGUGCCAGCCGCCGCGGUAAUACCGGCAGCUCAAGUGAUGACCGAUUUUAUUGGGCCUAAAGCGUCCGUAGCUGGCCGCGUAGGUUCGUCGGGAAAUCCAUCCGCUCAACGGAUGGGCGUCCGGCGAAAACCACGUGGCUUGGGACCGGAAGGCUCGAGGGGUACGUCCGGGGUAGGAGUGAAAUCCCGUAAUCCUGGACGGACCGCCGAUGGCGAAAGCACCUCGAGAAGACGGAUCCGACAGUGAGGGACGAAAGCUGGGGUCUCGAACCGGAUUAGAUACCCGGGUAGUCCCAGCCGUAAACAAUGCCUGUUAGGUGUGGCACCGACUACGAGUCGGUGCUGUGCCGUAGGGAAGCCGAUAAACAGGCCGCCUGGGAAGUACGUCCGCAAGGAUGAAACUUUAAAGGAAUUGGCGGGGGAGCACAAUCA
Molecule: ribosomal RNA, 803 nt
Filed under: uncultured archaeon
Lineage: Archaea
Description: bacterial SSU rRNA
Rfam family: Archaeal small subunit ribosomal RNA
Source: RNAcentral